CAUUCAAGAGCAGUUUAAAGUUUCUGUUAUUCUAUUUUAAAUAUGUGGCUAAUAGUCGCAUUUCAAGAAAUUUAUUCUCUAUUGAGUUUGUUUUAACAGUCUCAUCUAGUCAAGGUGAUAUGGUAUUGCAUUUGGAUUGUUUUAUUUUUUAUUACUGUUUCUUAUGUGCACAAGCCAUAAGAACAUGUGUAUGGCUGAGUGUAGGUAUACAUAUAUAUGUUCGAAUCAGGUAGUCAACUUUUUCAAGUUUUAACUGGAUGUUGUUCGUUAACUUCAAUGUUGCUGCACCUCUGUGGUGAUAUUAGCCACUUGUUAUUUAUUUUUAGUCAGUUGCUUUUUCAACUUCUCAACGAAACAAUAGCUGUGUAAAAGAGUGCAAAGUUAGAAAAUGCGUUGUAUAAAUAAGUCAUCCACCUGUGGUAUCCACAGGAUUACUGCGCAUUGAAAUUUAAGAUUUCUGUAAAAAACUAGUUUUGCAAUUUUGCGUUAUUUACUUGUUUCAUUUUUUAAUAUUAUCACUUUUUUUGUAUUCACUAUUAUAUGAUUUUCCAACGAUACACCUAUUAACUUACAUUAAAUUGAAUUAAAACAGCAAAUAAAUGCCAUAUUUUCAUUUCAAUAUUGUUAAAAACAGUACAAUCGCAAAAACGCAAAAUACAAUAAAAAUAACCAAAUGUGAAUCAAUAAUACCUAUAUAAGGCAAAUUUCCUGCGCUCCUCAAGUUUGUGCGCACAAUAACGUGAAUUCUAAUAAAGAAGACUACCGUGACUUUCGCAACUUCAUUUUUGAUAACUUGAUAAAUGUACGCUGACGCAUUUUUCAUUUAAGAAUGCGGUAAAAUUGUUCAUUGCUUUGAAUUAUCUGAACAAGUUAUUGAAAUAUACGGAAAAAAUCCACGUAUAUAUUUAUAUAUAUAUAUAUGUAUGUAAAUCGAUGCAUACAUGUUGAGGCCAAAUGAUAAACCAUACAUAAUGGCGAGGCGAAGAUACAUGUGCUGUCACUCUGAGUGCGCCAGUAUAAGACUUAUACUUCAUUUUUGUUUCAUGUUUAUUGGAGGUUUAACGGUGCUGCCGCGAGGAUCAACGCAAUUGAUGGAUGAUUCCUUUACUGUCAAACCGACACCAGCACUGCAAUUGGGUGAAGAAGAAUUAAUGACAAUAGUACUUCUAAAAAAUGACAACUCGCGAACUGGAGGUGAACAAAGUCGUGGUCGUUUUAUUAACGUACGUCCGGAGAUAGGGCUACUGACAUCAACAGCUCGUACUUUUAUACAAGAAGGCAUUACUACGGAAUACGCCACCCAAGUCGUUGGCACAACUCUUGAUAGUGGUCGACUUUACGCACAAUUUCUCAAAAAGAGUUCUCGCGUCUUAUACAAAGAGGAUAACGAAAGUGGACCGUCCGUUAUAACUAGUUGGGUAGGUGAACCUUUAACGCAAGGCGAAUCGAUUUUAAAUACCCUAUCAAAGAAUCUAUUGCAAAGCCACAAUGAUGUGUUUAAUGCGGAAAAACCUGACUGGAGGGCGAUUGAUGAUGACAUUUUCCUUAACUUACGUGAUUUUGUAGUAAAUACCGAUUUCGUACAAGUGCGAAAUACGCAUGCUUCCCUCCACGAUGACAUUCAACCUAGUUGGACGCUCAUGCCUUCAACAGGUCUUUCAACUUCCCCUUACUCCAUACCAGCAAAUUUAACACAACUUGUGAGUUUAGUAGACAUGAAAGUUCCUACAACGCCCGCCGAGAAAGUGUUACCAAUUGCUGAUCUUCCAACUUAUACAGUUAAACAUCAUUACGAGCCUAGUGGUUAUUUUAGGAAUGAUAGUGUUUUGAAUGCAAAUCGUGAUGCUAGAAAUGAGGUUUAUAGUCGUAAUGGCAAAUUAAUUUACAAAGAAUUUCAUAGUGAUAAUGAAAAAGCAUCCAACAAGAUAUCACCUACCGUUCAGUCGAAUGAAGCAGCACAUAAUUAUUUUUCUACCAUCACUUAUUAUGGAUUCGCCGAUUUCACAACAGUUGUUGGAGAUAGUAUUAUCGUUUUUUCCCCUGGCACUGCCCGGUCCAGCCACGAAACAAAUGCCAAUGUUACCUCGAUAAAAGGUGAAGCUACUCUUGACGUGAUUUCAUUUCAGCUAACGCAAGUCGGCCCGGCUGAAGCUGGUACUGCAAUCCACAACUUUUCAGCGCGUAAUUUUCAAUCAGAAAUUUUAAAUAUGAAUUCUGUUAUAAUCCCCAAACCUUUCUCAAAGACUUCGUUAACAACACCUUCAGAAAAGCACACAUCUACAAAGAGAGUCGCUUUAGAACCAUCGGGCCAUAGUCUAAAGGAAGCGCUUAUAAAAAAUUUUACAUUAUUUCCAAUCUCUGUCUCAGCAACCACACCUAUUGAAGAAAAUCUGAAACUUUCCCAUCCGUCGAAUGACCAAAUUUUAGAUAUUUUUACCGCCUUAGUGAUCGUGGAAACUGAUACAUUAAUGGCAACCCUCGCCCCCAAAACUUCCUUCAAUGAAAGUAAUACAAUUACAUAUGCCAAUGUAGAGACGAACCCCAGCACCUUAGGUGGCGCCACCACAAUAUUUUUCGAAGAUGAUCCAUUUACAAAUUUUUUAGCAAAGUCAAACCUUGACCCGAUUUUAAUUCCAUUUGCAACGCGCGCAUUUGACCAGAAGCAAACAGUCGAGCGAAGUUUUGCAGAUCAGCCUAUCGAAAGCUCAAUGGAAAUUUUUACAACUGAUAACUUUUAUUCAUCUGUUAGAGAUAUCAGCACAAUAUUGAAGAACGAACCGAGAGCAAUAAAUAAUUCAGCAGCAACAGGGAUAGCUAAAACGAUUCCGGAUAGCAUCAUUAGAGAAAUAAAAUCCAAGGACAAAGUAGAUAUUGAUGCCUGUAUACGAACCUCUCAAGUUUUUCUGACUCAAACGCCACGAAUAAUAACGGAGUUAAUUACAAGCGCGAAUAUACACAAUACUACAACCGAACCAUUCCAGGAAAUGGAUUCGCAUAUUGUAGGAAACUUUGAAAUUGGUUCGGCCACUAAAUAUUAUUGCGUUCAAACUACACGCAAAUACGAUACAAAAAAUGAAGAGGAGCCAAUUGUGGUUUCAAACUUAUCAUCAUUUAUAUCUAUUGAAACUCCAACUAAGAGCAUUGAACGUAUCACGGUGUCGAUAGGUAUCAGUGAAAAUGAAGCUAACGCUUUAAUAUCCGACAUAGCGUCAACAAGAAGAGAACGAAAGGAUGAAGAAACUUUAGACGGAGUCUUAAGUGAACUUCCAAAUUUAUUUGAAAGUCCUACAUUUAAGGAAAUUGCAUCCCAGUUAAUUGUAAAAGAUUUAGAUUUGGAACCCGUCACUGAAAUACAGUCAAAAUUUUCCGGAAAUAUUUUAGAAACGGAUGAGGAAGAUGAAAUUGAACUUAUAUAUAAGACACUUUACACUACCUAUACUUAUCUGACCACCUAUUUCCACGAAAUAGACACAAGUAUUUCUAGUCAUACAGAAGUAGUUACAAAUAUCAUUACUUCUACUUUAAAUGAUAAAAGAUUACCAUUAACACAGCUAGUGGAGAAUAAGAAGAAAAGUGAAUUUACAUCAUUCUCGGCGGUUUCACGCUACACUUUGUCCACAGAACUAGAUACAUAUAUACAAAGCGAAGAAAAAAGAAAUGCGGAUAGUGAAGAAUAUUUUGCAGAAAACGCGGAAGCAAGAACGGAAAUUAAUGCUGACACUGCUGAGCAAAGAAAUUUUUUCAGAACCUUUUAUACGACCUACACAUAUUAUACGACGAUAUUUGCAGAUAACGAAACUGAAAUAAUGUCGCACACUGAAAUUCAUACCAAUUUUGUUAAGCCAACAAAAGCUUCAAAAACUUCUAAAACGCAGACCUCUCUCUAUGCAUUAUUGCCUCCACAACCUAAUGAACAUAUAAGCCCCUCAGAGGCGACGCUUAUGCAGAAUAAGGAAGAAAACGCACUAGGUAGCCAUGGUAACAAAACAAACAAGUUCACGUCUGGAGAAAGGCACGUGUCGAUAAUAUCUGAUAUAGGGGAUUCGUCGGCAGUAACAUUCAUAACAGAUGUGCGUUCAAGUAGUUCCAUAGGUGAACAACAUGUAAUCGAUCAAGAAUUUUAUCUGAAAUUAUCUGACAUUUCUGAACCUAACCAAUCUUCUCUAGAUGACCAAGUCAGUUCCGAAAGCAAUACAGAUGAUGAAGUUUUGCCGUCGGCCACGUUACUCUUACAAACGAGCUUUACGACUUUUACUUAUUAUACGACAAUGUAUAGUGGUAGGAAGACGAAUAUAAUAAGUCAUUUGGAAACUAUCACAAAUACCCACACCGAAACUUUAAAAUCUUCAAAAACUUUAAAUUUGGAUGAAACGAGUUUGCCCAUUACAUAUUUUACAACAUUCACAUAUUGGACAAAAUUGGCUAGAGACGGUCAGAUUACCACCGUGAGCCGGGAAGAGACAGUUUCAAAUGUGGUAAUACCCACAAAAGUUUUCACAGAAGAACCGGCAGAGAGUAAUAUUACAACUUCACCAUUAUAUACCUAUAACAUCGAAUCAAGCUCCGAUUAUUUAAAUCAAACCCAACCAAAUAUUGAGCUAAGUGGUUACAACGUGGGAACUGACGUAGUGUUUUCUAUUGUGACUAGUGUUUUAAAGCCAACCACUUAUUACACCACUUAUACCUUCUACACAACGUCCUACGAAUUAGAUAAUACUAUUACGGAUUCUCAUUUAGAAACCGUAACGAAUGCAAUCACGCCGACGCUUACGUUGACGCCUGCACCAUUUGCUCGGCAAACGACCACAGCUUUCUUAGAAUUGUUGCCGUCAUCAACAGCAAGAUCAGAUAAAGCUUCCAUUAGUAUAUUAGCGUAUGACCUUAAAAAAAUUAUAGAUGCAGAUGGUAUUUCUACUUUAUUCUUUACCACACAAAUACAAUCUACGGUUGAUCAACAUGGAAAAUUCUCAGAAUUCGUAAACAGUACCUCCACUUUAUAUGUUGAUGAAGUUAAAAAGGCGCUGCUUUCAACCAUGAUCAGUUCUGAACGAUCAGGCACUGACAUUCAAAAACAACAUAAAACCGGUUUAGUACGUUUAAUAGAAGGAACACGUACCGGCAAUAAGACUACUACUUUGUAUCAAUCCAGAGUGAUCGGUACAAUAAUUGACCAACGAUAUGCGCAAAUAAUUGAGAGUACGUCUAGUUUCAUUUUCGAGCAUAGCAGCGAUCUGCCAGAUAGUUCUAUUCGAGAGAGCAAUACUUUGACUAAUAGCUUUGUUCAAAGUAUACAGAGGCCUACGAUCGGAAUGUCGGACUCGUCUUUGAUUGAAGGCAAUGAAGAGCGGUACCGCUUUGAUUACAAACUGAAUGAAUCUGAAAUGAAAGACAUUGAUAGAACAUCUCCACCUUACUUAACUCAGUCAAAGAAACGAGUAUUCACACCUACAAUUAGGCCGUUUGCAAGUCGAAAUCGACCGCAAUUUGCACCAAAAAAAAGUAGCUUAUUCCCCAGUAGCGCUACUAUUAUCACACGUAGUGAUUUUACGCCAACAAUAACUGCAACGCCAGCUCUUAAGUCUUCUAGCCGUUUUACUUCUUUCCGUUACAGCAGCAAUCCUUCAUCAACAAUUUCUGGUUAUGGAUCCGCCCGACGUUUUGGACGGCUUGGGAAACCACCAUCUAGCAGCAUUGAGCUCCGAUUAAAUCGAAUUAAUGCAGCACUUUCACAACAGUCGUUCCGCAUAAAUGUGUCAACAAAUCUACGUCGCUUGAGUGGAUCUGUAAACCGUCCAACACUAUCCGGCAUAUUUUCUUCAAGCGACAAUCGCUUUUCUCGCCUUAAGCCCCCACUGACCCAAACGCAAAAUUUGGAUGAAAUGCUUACAUCUGUACUACGCACAGGUGCGAAUUCAAAUUCGCAACAAAAUGAUGAAGAAAAUUUACCUCUGCAUGAUGAGAAUGAUGUAAAUGAUACCCUCUCACUGCUGAAUAGACAAAAUAAAUUACGAGCCCGGCGACCUCUAUCUAAUGGAUCUAGCGCCACUCCAGUACGUUCACCUUAUUCUAAUGUGAGCCCAGGCUUCUUGCGGCGACUUAGUCGCUUCCGUUCUUCGACAGUCACGACAACGACAAGUAUACCAACUACACUUAAACCUCGCCCAAAAAGUUUCCAGCGCCAUGUUGCAGCAAGCACUUUCCAGAACAGAUCACGUUUUUCCAAUAGCUUAUUUCCGACUCGUAAUAUUUUCGGAACUCAAAGACCUUUUAUAGACCAAGUAAAUUCACAAAACAGUGAAGACACUCCGUCAUUCGACGAAAAUUUAAGCAAAGGCAAUGAAAAUGAUGAAGAUUCUGAAUAUGAAGAAGAAGACGAAGAUGAAAUACUUGAAGAGGACGACGUAGAAGAUAUAUUUAGAAGACGACGAUCGAGCAAAAAGUCGAGCCUGAGUUUUUUCACAGAUAAUGAAAAUUGGCGAGCAAAACGCGAAGCAGAUAACACUGUAAAAAGUGUUAGUAAUUUUCGUAAUCGUUUUAGAAGGCCAAUGAAAACGUCAGCAAUUCAAGCUGAGACUCGUAGCUAUGCUGAUCAGAACGCCGAUAAUAACAACACAUUCUUUACUGCUCGAACAAACGCUUAUGCUCGUAAACGAGUAGGAUCCCGCUUAAAUGGGCGUCUUCAAAACCUACAAUCGACUUCAAUAAAAACCGAAAGCUUAAUUUUAAAUAGGCCUAUAAGGCCCACGCGUCCGACUAGUGGAGCAAGAGCUCAAUUCACAUUGCGUGAAAAGGAUUCUACAACAACAACCCCACGUACGCAAAAGAGCCGCGCCGGUUUUCGGCGAAGUCAGCCUGGAGCCGCUAUGUCUAUUUAUCCAUCUGUAUCUUCAACGUUAAACACUACCAACGGCCACCGCCGAUUAAAGACUAAGGUGGACUCCUUGCCUCAUACACGUGAUUCAAUAUCAACACGGACGCGCACCGGUAAUUUAGCAAGCGGCCGCGUACGUACCACCUCCCCACGCAACUCAGCAAAUAAUCGCGCACGUACAAAUAACGACAUAAAAUCAGAGCUCUUAAUAUUUGAUAAUAGUGACACCAUAACAGUUACUUAUAGAGUACCGACAAGUGUCACUGUUCCAAUUGUCGAUGGAAAAGUAACUGAAUAUAAAUUAUUAGUAACAGCUAAAACUUACAGCGAGGUGCUAGGACCGAAACAGUAUACUAGCUUCACGAAUGUCAACGGUCAAACGCAGCUAGUGCUAACGCGUGAGGAUUCCUCCGUGAACUAUGUCGGAGAAACAAAACUCACUCAAUACUUUCUACAUGAAAAGCCCACUACUACUGUAACAUUCACGCCGACAACCAUACGCGGGCGUAAAACUUCUUUUUCCCAUAUCUUACCAUCGACCGUGUACUCAGUAGAAGAAGUAGUUUCUACAAUACAACCGAAGAUAUCUCCUAAUGUACCUUUAGCUAAUAUAUUGUUAUCCCAACUACUACUAGGUCAAGGAGGUCUUCAGACGGCAAAUCCACUACUUGAAGCUUUAAGCGAAGCUCUGACUCAAUCGGUCGGUUUAGUGAUGACUAGCAAUAUCAAUCCCGUGACAGAAUAUCGUACGCACGCUUCCACUUACAUUACUACUGUCUAUGAAGGCAAAUCCACCAUUUUGCCCGUUACUUUUCAAGGAAAAAAAAUUUUAACUACGAUCUAUGACACUACUGCCCAAACCAUUACCGCUACCGAAUUUAUUACUGAUACCAUUAUUACAACGCCAACUUUAAUGCCCCAAAUAUUACCUCAAACACAGAUUGCUGCCAACAGUCUUCUACUCCAGCAACUGUUGCUACCACAACAAGUCCCUCAUUCAGAUGUAAGUGGUCAAUUAGGAGCAGCCCUUUUGAACAUAAUACCUUCACGGUUAUAUUUAAAUGGUGAGAGUUUGCAACAACUAGAAGCUAUCAAUAAUGUCCGUCUCUCUAAUCGAGGGAGAGACUUAAAUGAUGACGACGACAUUGCUUCAGGCAGUGGCCUAAACAUUGAUGAUAUAACAUUAGUUGCGCAAACUCACAAUCAGAAACCAAGCCGCAAAAAAGCAAGGAAGUCUGGAAAAAGUCAUAAACGCAAACCACAAGUGGAACCAGUACAACCGCAAUCUAGUGUAGUUACACUUUAUUUGUCGGGUCGUCGCCCAGGGGAAUUUAGUACUGUAUUGUCAACGGUGCCAGUACGAUUAGCAAGUACACUUUACAAACGACACGCUACGGCGAUUAUUAGCAGUUUGUGCAGCACAGAUAGAAGUGAACAUAAUGAUUAUGUGGCGACGCAGGUAACAUUCCUAAACAAAAACGAGGCCAUACAUGCAACAGAAACUUUAGAAAGUAUUGUUGGUGAUGUUUUAAAAUUGCAUACUCAAUCACUAGCAGCUAGGCUUGAGAAUAGCCACCAAACUGAAUCAGGUUGAUUGCUUAUUUUUUCUCAAAAAAUAGUAAAGAUGAAAACCAAAGGUUAGGUAUAGUAAAGACGCAAUUUUGUCGUAGUUGACCUUACUAAGCCAUUCAUUCUCUUGCUGCAGGUGAUAAAACACAAAACAUAAAAAUUAUAGCUAAUGAAAAUAUUAUAUAUUGCAAGCAACUUAAUAGAAACCGGGACAUGCACAACAGUUUGGCGCUCAAUUCAACAAGAAACCAAAUUAUAAGGACAACAUUGUGUUUAUUUCGGUACGUAACCGUUAAUACAAGACAAGUUUGAAUUUUAUCAAUUGCAAGUUUUUUAAAGAUCACAAGGUUUAUUAACGUAAAUGUAACGUUAACGAUUUUACCAAAACACAGAAAUAUUGGAACCGGAUAUCAAGAGAAUAAAGUUAAGGUACAAAAAGUGUGUUUUAUUCUGAUAAAACGUAAAAUUUUUCGAACUCGUAACAUUAACAUAACGGGAAACACUAGUAGUAAGAACACCAAAAGAGAGAAAGAAUUCAGAAUUAACAAAAAGGCGAAUAUGUUCCCAAAAAUACUACAGAAAGCGAAACAAAAGAGCUACAAUAGAUAUAAUAAAUUCGCGCAGAAAAGAGUAACUUUUAUGCAACCACGAACUAACGGUGAUGUGACAGUGUGAACUUUAGAUGUUUUGAACCACUUUGAGAAAAAGAUAAAUCAAUCCUCCUAGCAAGACACUAAAUGCGAAGCUGAGUUAGAUUUUAACGACAAAAUCGCCAAAACGAAGCUGCCUACAACCCGAGAUAAAGGUGAAAAAAAAAAUCGACGAAAACCUUUGUAAAUGUGUAUGCAAUAUCGUACUUAGUCUUGCCGUCUUUAUUAUCAAACGCGUCACUUCACCUAAGAGCAGCCACUAUGGCUCUCCAUUAAAUGAAAUUGCAAAUAUGGAUUUUUGCUUUGAUAGUAGCGUGUGCUUUGUUCGGGGUACCAUAUACCAAUAAUAUCGACAAGUUAGCGUAUACAAUCUCAAAUGUUAUUACGUGUUUUCACAGUAAUAAGUGCACUUGCAAUGCGUCAAUAAACCCAUGAUGCUACUAUUUCUGCCUACAAGCGAAGCAAUCUCUUCAAGCGAACUGAAAUAUUAAUUUAAAUUUUAAACAAUAAUACAGAUCCAAGUUGAACAAAGAAAGCCCGGUUAAAUGUGUAUGUAUAUAUAUAUACAUAUACGUACGCUAAAGCGACAAAAGUGGAUAUCUGUUCUAUACGAAAAUUAUAAUUAAAUUCCGGUAAACAUGUCGAGCAAAAUUUGUAUUCUUUCGGACGAAAGAGUAGUCAGUCGUAUGGCUAUAUUGAAGAACAUUAAAAACCAAGAAGCCAGAAGGAAUCUUUAUCGUUUUGGAAGUUUUAACCUUUAAAAAUUAUUAAAAGCUUCGUUGUAUAUCAUUCUUCAAUACUUGCCGGACCGAAAUAUGUGACUAGGUAAACUUUUUGUUAUGAAAGAAAGUUCAAUGGUCAUUAAGUAUUCCAAACGAAAAUUGAAGAAUUGCACUUCAACGAAUCAACAUCCUCAAUUUUUUCAAACUUUCCUGAUUACAAAAACUCCAGCGAGUUUUAAGACAGAUUAUCAUCUAAAUUCGUUCAGUAACAAAGAAGAGUAGAGACUAAUUUAGAGGGUAAGAUUUGCACCAGUGUAGUGAAUCAAAAAGCACGAGGCGAAGUAAAUUAAUAAGGUAACUGCUAUAACCUAUAAGAUAUUAAUGAAUGUUUUAAAAUAUUUAAUUUUUGUUAGAGUUAGUCGUCGAGGCAUUACGAGAUUGUCUGCGUAGGAACCACGCUCGUUUUACAAUUCUAUGAAUAUGUAGCAAAAUCAUAUCGUUUCCUUCAUUUUUGCGACGCUAAAAGAAAGGUACAAUAGAAGCCGAUUUCAUUUCAAUAAGGGAUUUAAGUUUAUUAAGAUUCUUUGGGUUUUCUACUACGUAAUUCAGCGAGUUGUGAGCCAAACGAAAAGAUGUCCUUAAUAUUGAGAACAACAUUUUUCUUCGUAUCAGUUAUUAUUAUUAUUAUUAUUAUUAGAAAUUUAGCCAGAGGAUAAAUUCUAAGACUAAUGUCUUAAAGCACUA
RNA transcript from Glossina fuscipes, 10556 nucleotides. RefSeq lists it as uncharacterized. The record is from RefSeq and is a predicted model, not a curated record. NCBI's taxonomy places the organism in Eukaryota, Metazoa, Arthropoda, Insecta, Diptera, Glossinidae. The transcript has 6 exons.